This 282-nucleotide ribosomal RNA is filed under the name uncultured Anaplasma sp. RNAcentral's name for it is "partial 16S ribosomal RNA". It matches the Rfam family "Bacterial small subunit ribosomal RNA", at positions 955 to 1233 of the family's 1533-position model. The record is from RNAcentral. Lineage: Bacteria; Pseudomonadati; Pseudomonadota; Alphaproteobacteria; Rickettsiales; Anaplasmataceae.
UGCAACGCGAAGAACCUUACCACUUCUUGACAUGGAGAUUAGAUCCUUCUUAACAGAAGGGCGCAGUUCGGCUGGAUCUCGCACAGGUGCUGCAUGGCUGUCGUCAGCUCGUGUCGUGAGAUGUUGGGUUAAGUCCCGCAACGAGCGUAACCCUCAUCCUUAGUUGCCAGCGGGUUAAGCCGGGCACUUUAAGGAGACUGCCAGUGAUAAACUGGAGGAAGGUGGGGAUGAUGUCAAGUCAGCACGGCCCUUAUGGGGUGGGCUACACACGUGCUACAAUGG